This 500-nucleotide small RNA is filed under the name Pongo abelii (Sumatran orangutan). RNAcentral describes it as "retained intron". The record is from RNAcentral. Lineage: Eukaryota; Metazoa; Chordata; Mammalia; Primates; Hominidae.
AGCCGGGCCAGCUUGGGGGCCCUGUCCCUGGAGGCUUAUCUGAUCACAGGUGAAGCUGAGACCCGCGUCCCCACUAUGAGGCCGAGCAUGUCGGGACUCCACCUGGUGAAGAGGGGACGGGAACACAAGAAGCUGGACCUGCACAGAGACUUUACCGUGGCUUCUCCCGCUGAGUUUGUCACACGCUUUGGGGGGGAUCGGGUCAUCGAGAAGGUAUAGACGGGUCUCGGCACUCUGGGUGGGGUCCAAUUGGGGUGCAGGGGCCCCUCCUCUCAGCUGGAGGUGGGAGUUUUGGGUUCAGGCUCAUUCUGCCUGCUGCAGAGAGGGGGUGAGGGCCACACUCCUCUGAGUUUUAAUAGUUUAACCCUCAAAUAGAAAUAAUAGUGAAACCUCUUUCGAAGGGCUGUUGUGAGGAUGAAAUGAAAUAAGGCAGGUAAAACACAUUGUACUGUAAAACACUCAAAAAGUGUUAAGGGUGAUCACAAUGACACCAAAGGAAU